AUGAAAAUUGGGUAGUUUUUCCACCUGUGUGGAUAGGGUAAGCCUAUUAAUACAACAACUAGAGAAACAGCAUCAAUCUGAUUAAAUUAUUUGUAUACAUCACAAUAGGUAUUUUUAUCAGAAGAAUCAAGGCUGUACGUCCCAUGAACCCAACUCCCUCCGCCCUCCUGAAGAUCGCAGUCAGCUGAUGAAAAGUGUUUUGAGAAAGUUCGCUGGCGGAGCAAAGCUACGAAGCGACAGAGGGUUUCCUGGUGAGCUCGCAACCAACCAGCGGCAAACGAGCGUCAUCACUCCCUUUAAUUUCACAACACGCGUGCAAAAAUGUGGACGGAGGUGAAAAACCAGACCAAAAUUGUAUUUAGCGAUGGAAACACAUCGGAGAGAGCUGUUCCAAUGCACACAUGGGUCCUCGCUACAUAUGAGCAGCGCAAUGAGUCAACGACCAUCCCUCGUCCCUCAUAUACAGAAGGCCCCCAGGCCAGAGGCAGUGGCAUCAUCCCAGGGUUUCAGUUGGAACAUGCUCAAUAUUUCCCUGGUGGAAAAUAAAGACACUUAAUCAGACACGUGUCAGGUGGUCAGACCCAGGCAGGCCAGAGGUUUGGAAGACAGCGUGACAUUCCGCUAGCCACGGUAAUGGAGCCAUUGCAGCAGCAGUGUUCAUUGGUUUCGUACUGGGUCUCUAUGCAGUUCUGUGGAAGUGUAUGGUCUCACCACCCCAAAGGAAGAAGAGGAGGGUGAGGGUUCGAGACAAGAGGAGCCAAGUAUGCUGACUGACCAUCAGGAUCUCAUCUAGGCCAUCUGGCCAGAGGAUCCAGUGGAUCCAACUCAUGCAUCAAACCCCGGCCAGUCAAACGGACCCGAAAAGAUCCACUCAUACUGACUUGAGUCUCUCAUCAGGAUGUUCCUGGACAUCAGAGAGGAAAUGGAGAUUCAGAAACAUUUGCAUAGAGCUAGAGGAUGGCAUAUUAUGGAUCUAGCAUAUCAUGGUCAGAGGAUGGACCAGAUUCUAAGGAUCCGGUCAAAUGGAUCUAAAAGGAUCUUCUAAAUUGCCUUACGAGGAUCCACUCAAAUGGCUAAAGGAUCCAACUGAAGUGCAUCAGAGAGCAUGAACAAACAAUCUAAAUCAGUUAAGCUGGGGUCUGCAGACCCAUCAAAUGUAAACAUUUUUGUAUGUAAUUUAAAAAAAUAUAUAUCUGAAUAUUACUAACAGGUUAAACAUAUUUUUGCAAGGGAUCUGUUGAAUUAGUUUAGAGUGUAAUACAAUAAAAUGUCAUAUUAUUAAUAUACAAUUUAUGUUAAACCCUGGACAACAUGGGCCUGGGAGGCUCACAGGGAUAUUGGCAUCUACAGUACUCCACCAAUUAUACAUUUUUCAGCUCAAUAA
Molecule: RNA transcript, 1384 nt
Organism: Salvelinus namaycush (lake trout)
Lineage: Eukaryota; Metazoa; Chordata; Actinopteri; Salmoniformes; Salmonidae
Exons: 6
Source: RefSeq, a predicted model, not a curated record